AACGAACGCUGGCGGCGCGCCUAACACAUGCAAGUCGAACGAGAAGGCGUAGCAAUACGCUUGUAAAGUGGCGAACGGGUGAGGAAUACGUGGGUAACCUACCCUCGAGUGGGGAAUAACCAACCGAAAGGUUGGCUAAUGCCGCGUACGCUUCCAUUCUUUCGGGGGUGGAAGGAAAGCUGUACCGUGGGUACAGCGCUCAAGGAUGGGCUCACGUCCUAUCAGCUUGUUGGUAGGGUAACGCCUACCAAGGCAACGACGGGUAGCUGGUCUGAGAGGACGAUCAGCCACACUGGCACUGCGACACGGGCCAGACUCCUACGGGAGCAGCAGUGAGGAUAUUGCGCAAUGGGCAAAGCCUGACGCAGCGACGCCGCGUGGGGAUGAAGGUCUUCGGAUUGUAAACCCC
Molecule: ribosomal RNA, 409 nt
Filed under: uncultured bacterium
Lineage: Bacteria
Description: bacterial SSU rRNA
Rfam family: Bacterial small subunit ribosomal RNA
Source: RNAcentral